ACGCGCGCAGACGACGAAGAGCGCGAGCAAGCGCGCGAUGGCCGGUCCAUUCAUUCCAUUAACACAGAAACCCACAAUCGCGCUUCUUCUCACUGCCAGUGCCGUAUGUCCGUGCGCGCAGAGAAAGCACCUUUCAAAGGUCGAUCCGCGACACACACACAACCGCGCACGCUUGACCCUCGCUCACAAAUCAACAGGAGAAACACACAUCUCCAGACUCCAGACGCGCAGCAUCCGUGGAGGGGCGUGGUCAGGCGUGAGGGGAGGCAGCGAGUCGGUGCCUGAGCGAGGGGAGGGCGUCGGCGGCCCAUUCGGCGUCUACGACGCUCACGUUGCGCAUGUACGAGCGGCCUGUGUGCACCAAUUCGGAGAAGAGCACGCAGCUAGGGGGCGUGGUCGCGUCGAACAGCACGCUGGACGGGUGCAGCGACACGAACUGACGGUUCGACACCUGCGCAGCUCAAGAAUUCAAAUUUUAAAAGAGUGCGACGGACAGUUACGUGAAAAUUUCUUAAAGAAUGCCAAGAAUUUAGAAUUGGCGGGAACUCUUCAACAGGUCUUGCGGAUUGGUUGCGAAAAUGGCGGGAAACUUAUUAAGAAUUUCGAGAAUAAGCGAAUUUUUAAACCAAGGCGAGGUUAGUCGCACAUUUUGGCGGGAAAUUCAAAUUUUAAACGGCAACUGCCACGAUUUGAAUAAAAAGGCGCCAAAAAAAUUCUUACCGUGACGUAGAGCUUGUCUCGGGCGUGCGUGGCGAGGUUGCUGAAGAGGCCGGAGACGAGGCAGCGCCUGACCUGCGUCAGGUCCUUGCCGCACGAGCCCUGAGUGACGCCGGCCUUGUCGCACAGCGCGACCAGCUGCUCCCUGACCUGCGUCGCGUGGCUCAGGGCGCGCAGACUCAGGUGGUUCUCCCUGCAAAAAACCUGUACGCACGCAUGCGUCACUUUGAGGCGUUCAUCAGGGUCUCAGGGUGGCUCACCUUUUUGUUUUUGGCGGCUGUGAAGGCGUUGUGCACGUUGAGCAGCGUUUCGUGGUCGCCAAACUCGGAGUGGAACUUGCUCUGCGCCACCAGCGCCUCGUUGCGCUUACUCGAAGACGACUGCAGCACCCCCUCGCCAGACAGCAGCGCCACCAGGGUCACGAUUUCAUCCCUGAAGGGUAUAGGGAAGAUAAACGGAUUGUUUUGAUGAAAAAAUCGAGCAAUUAAAGCCCGUCAUUGCGUUCGCGCCGCGGAGAUUUGGCCGCCCCGCCCACUUUUAUAUCUCUCCGCAUCACCCACACGAGUCAGCUGAUCGGAGUGAAGUUAACUCCGUUUGAUAGACCUCUCCAAGAGCCAACUUCCCUCCGAUUAGCUGAAUCAAACGAUCGGCCAGAUUUCCGCGACACGAAAAACUAAUGAUUUUUACGCAAUUGAAGAUAAAGUUGAUUUUAACCUGCACUGGAGCGUGCCAGAGGCGAUGAGGACGCGAGCGUAGGCCGCGUCGAUGGGGAAGGCGGCCAUCUGACGUCCGAGCGGCGUGAUCUGCAGCUCGUUAGAGGCCUCCAGCACGCCGCCGAGCGCCUUGAGCUGCUGCACGGCGGACAGAAGCGCCUCCGGCUUCGGCUUGUCCACAAAGUCAAAGUCGGCCACCUUGCGCACGCCCAUGGUCAGCAGCUGCAGCACCACCGAGCUCAGGUUGAUGCGCAGCAUCUCAGGUACCGUCGACGCCGGAAGACGACUGAAUUCCUGCACCCGCAGCGGAAGCAGGUGCCUUGGGCCUCUCUUCCGGCGCGUCCGGUGCGCUGCCACGCCUGGUCCUGCGCGAUUCGCUGCACCUUGAGCACGUCCAGCCCCGUGCCCACGAAAUGCGUCCUGAAAAUUCGAGAUAUUUAACGAUUUCAUGCUUUUCCUAGCGGAUUUUGCGGACCUUUGCUUCACCAUGCCGGAGUCGAUGACGUGCCUGAUGCCGUUGAUGGUGACCGAGGUCUCGGCGAUGUUGGUCGCCAGCACCACCUUGCGGACUGUCGCAGCCACCGGCUUGAACGCCUGCACCUGCUGCUCCUGCGGCAGGGCGGCGUACAGCGGCAACACGACCAUCGGAGCGCCUCCAACCUCCUGAUCAAACAAAAAGCUAGUAAAAUACGAACCAACGAGAAUGUUUUGAGUUGAAAGAUGAAUAAACGAAAACAAAUAUG
Molecule: long non-coding RNA, 2173 nt
Organism: Cloeon dipterum
Lineage: Eukaryota; Metazoa; Arthropoda; Insecta; Ephemeroptera; Baetidae
Exons: 3
Source: RefSeq, a predicted model, not a curated record